Molecule: ribosomal RNA, 460 nt
Filed under: Acutotyphlops subocularis
Lineage: Eukaryota; Metazoa; Chordata; Lepidosauria; Squamata; Typhlopidae
Description: partial 12S ribosomal RNA
Rfam family: Bacterial small subunit ribosomal RNA
Source: RNAcentral
AACUUAAGGAAGAAAUUUACGCCCGCUGUAAAAUGCCAAGUUAAAAAUAAUUUUUUUGCCUUAAAACUUUUGACUCAUGAAAGCCAAGGAACAAACUAGGAUUAGAUACCCUACUAUGCUUGGCAGAAACACGGUUAAAACCCGCCAGAUUAUUACGAGUAAAAACUUAAAACUCAAAGGACUUGACGGUGUCCCACACACAACCUAGAGGAGCCUGUCCUAUAAUCGACAGUCCACGAAAAACCUCACCACCUCUUGCCAAACAAUCUAUAUACCGCCGUCGCAAGUCCACCUUUUGAGGGGAGAAAAGUGAACGCAACAGUCUUACACUAAUACGACAGGUCAAGGUGUAGUUUAUGGGGUGGUCAGAGAUGGGCUACAUUUCCUUAUUAAGGGAAUACCGACGGCUUARUGAAAACNCNCCUGAAGGUGGAUUUAGUAGUAAAAUAGAAUUAGCAAG